This 1769-nucleotide long non-coding RNA is filed under the name Mytilus galloprovincialis (Mediterranean mussel). Lineage: Eukaryota; Metazoa; Mollusca; Bivalvia; Mytilida; Mytilidae. The record is from RNAcentral.
GCAUAAGUUCGAUAGCUCAAAGUACUGGUUACGAUGUAAUUCCUAUUGUGGAAAUUGAUCAUUCUGCAACAGUAAAGGAGGCUCGCGGAUAUAAGAUUUUCAGAAAAAAAUUAAACAUUAUUUUUUAUUACAAAUUUUAUUCAUUACUUUAAGUAGUUGUUACUUUAUCACAUGGUACAAAAAUCAUUCCAAAAAUUCAAUUCGUGUUGGCCCCAGGUGACUUUUAAAAUGUAGAUAUCAUUGAAAAAGCUCCAAAUUAUCUCCCUAUGGUGCAAAAAUGUCAUUUUUUGGCAUUAAAAUUGAAAUAUCUUUUUUUUUAUUGUGGUUUUCGAAUAAGCUGUACAUAAACUACAUAAUUGUAAAAUAUAAGCGAUUUCUGUAGUUUAGUUCUUUUUUUAUUUCGAAAUUACCGCUAUUUCUCCUAUUAGUUCAACAAAAAAAAAGGACAUUAAUAAGUAUUCUUCUUUCGAAGGCAUAUUGUGAGCGUGGAUUUCGUGUGUACAGGUUAACCAUGAAUUCAAAUCUUCAACAAAUUGUUAACAUUGAAAGACUGUGGCAGGACAAAAAAAAUACACGAAAAUUAAUAAAUCCUCAUAAUAGAAAAAGUUGUGACACCUUUGAUUUUCUAAUAAUUCUCACGGUAUGAGACAUAGAUUCUAUGUCACUCCUAGCUUUUGUGAUUUAAGAUUAUGACGUAAGGGAAAGAUGUCAAUCCAGAUAAAGAAUUAAUUUCCCGACCAUGCAAGGGCUGUAAAGCCAGUCAAGGUAAAGUUUUUCUCAUACACUAAAAAAAAUGGCACUUUUAAACUCGGGAGCCUAAAGCGAGUUUCUGAAUCACCUUCAUCAUACACAUUCAAAUCGAAAUAUUUGAAAGGCAGGGAUGUAUAAGACUAACAUUGUAGCAUUAGUCUGCAUAAGUUCGAUAGUGUUUUGUAUCAGUAGACCUUUUGAUUUUUGUUAGACAAAAUUGACAUAGUUGGUAAACUCAUUAUUUUGGGCGAAUUCGUACGCGUAAAAAAAAAAACCAUUCUUACCGGAAAAGUUCUCGUUAAUUAACAUCCGGAAAUAUAUCGAAAAAAAAAAAAACACUUUUUUGAUCGAAAUUAAAAAAAAGAAUAAAAGCAUAAAUUUGGUGUUGCCUUUAUGCCAAACUUCAAAUAUAUAAUACGUACUACAAUUAUAAACAGGACGAUGAUAUGUUAAUUAGAUCGUGUACUAGAAGGACAAGUUUACUUUAUUCUCGGUAUCUGUUUCUUACAAACCUUCCGGCCUCUUACACUCGUUAUAUACACAUUUCCUUAAAGGAUGUAGAAACCUCAAUAAUGUAACUUUUGUUCUUCUAUAUCACAACAAAAUAUACUACACCAGUCUUAUAGGUCAGAGUAGGGUUGUCAUCACGGAGCAUUGGCUCACACUAAAGAGGAAGCUAUAAAGGGCCCCAUAAAUUACUAGUGUAAAGCCAUUCAAACGGGAAAACCAACAGUCUAAUCUAAAAAAAAAAAAAACGAGAAACACCUAUAAACCACAUCAACAAAGGACAACUACUGAACAUCAGAUUCCUGACUUAGGACAUAUUAACACCAGUGAACUUACGCUGAACGAAUAAAUUUUAUAUAUGAUACAAUGUUAAUACAAAAUCAAUAAAAUAAUGGAUGGAAAAAAAGUAAAAUCACCAAAAUACUGAACUCAGAGGAAAAUCAAUUCGGAAAGUCCUUAAUCACAUGGUAAAAUCAAAUGACAAAACACAUAAAAAACGAAUGGAUAAGAAC